AAAAACAAAACCCAUAUAUAUCACCACCAAAACUAUAUGUUGCAAUUCAAGCACAUCACUAAGGUUCACCGACUUGAAACCAGAGGAACAAAUAUACCCAAGUUUUCCUUCAAUUUUUGUCCAUUUGAUAAUCUACCAGAAAAAGAUACUUUUGUAAAACCACUUCAAGAUAUAAUAGGAGUCAUUAGCCACGUUGGGCCAUUUGAUUAUGCAAGUCAGACAUCUACAAAUAAACUCAGGAAAAUCAAAAUUCGAAACCUAGAUGAACAGACACAAGAAAUACGUCUUUGGGGCCACCAUGGUGAAACAUUUGAUGAAGAAGUUGUACUCAAAA
Triticum aestivum (bread wheat) is the source of this 334-nucleotide long non-coding RNA. RefSeq lists it as uncharacterized. The record is from RefSeq and is a predicted model, not a curated record. The transcript is spliced from 3 exons. Lineage: Eukaryota; Viridiplantae; Streptophyta; Magnoliopsida; Poales; Poaceae.